CAAUUCCCCGUUUAGUUCGUCUGAUUAGAACCAAAAAGGGGAGGGGGUGUAUUCAUUCGUUGGACUCCGUUAAAAACAAAAAAACGUUUUGCAUCAACAACAACAACAACAACAAACAGUUUUAGUUCGUUUUAGUUUUAUGCUUUUCCACGCGAUGCCAUUCCAAUCUGAAUAGUCUGUGAAAUGGUUAGGGGGGGAGGCAGGUAGCCUAGUGGUUAGAGUGGAGGGACGGCAGGUAGCCUAGUGGUUAGAGUGGAGGGACGGCAGGUAGCCUAGUGGUUAGAGUGGAGGGGCGGCAGGUAGCCUAGUGGUUAAAGUGGAGGGAUGGCAGGUAGCCUAGUGGUUAGAGUGGAGGGGCGGCAGGUAGCCUAGUGGUUAGAGUGGAGGGAUGGCAGGUAGCCUAGUGGUUAGAGUGGAGGGGCGGCAGGUAGCCUAGUGGUUAGAGUGGAGGGAUGGCAGGUAGCCUAGUGGUUAGAGUGGAGGGAUGGCAG
RNAcentral lists this long non-coding RNA (491 nucleotides) under Salmo salar (Atlantic salmon). RNAcentral describes it as "lncRNA (ENSSSAG00000119724.1)". The record is from RNAcentral. Lineage: Eukaryota; Metazoa; Chordata; Actinopteri; Salmoniformes; Salmonidae.